UCCGGUUUGGCACCGGCAGUCCUCCCAGAGUCCCCGACUUGACUCGCUGGCAACUGGGAGCGGGGGUUGCGCUCGUUGCGGGACUUAACCCAACAUCUCACGACACGAGCUGACGACAGCCAUGCACCACCUGUAUACCGACCACAAGGGGGGCACCAUCUCUGAUGCUUUCCGAUAUAUGUCAAGCCUUGGUAAGGUUCUUCGCGUUGCGUCGAAUUAAGCCACAUGCUCCACUGCUUGUGCGGGCCCCCGUCAAUUCCUUUGAGCUUCAACCUUGCGGCCGUACUUCCCAGGCGGAAUACUUAAUGCGUUAGCUGCGGCACCGGCGGUAAACCGCCGACACUUAGUAUUCAUAGUUUAAGGCGUGGACUAC
Molecule: unclassified non-coding RNA, 373 nt
Filed under: uncultured bacterium
Lineage: Bacteria
Description: contains 16S-23S intergenic spacer region
Source: RNAcentral